UACGGAAGGGGCUAGCGUUGUUCGGAAUUACUGGGCGUAAAGCGCACGUAGGCGGCUUUGCAAGUUAGAGGUGAAAGCCCAGGGCUCAACCCUGGAAUUGCCUUUAAAACUGCAUCGCUAGAAUUGUGGAGAGGUAAGUGGAAUUCCGAGUGUAGAGGUGAAAUUCGUAGAUAUUCGGAAGAACACCAGUGGCGAAGGCGACUUACUGGACACAUAUUGACGCUGAGGUGCGAAAGCGUGGGGAGCAAACAGG
RNAcentral lists this ribosomal RNA (253 nucleotides) under uncultured bacterium. RNAcentral describes it as "partial 16S ribosomal RNA". It matches the Rfam family "Bacterial small subunit ribosomal RNA", at positions 524 to 776 of the family's 1533-position model. The record is from RNAcentral.